Molecule: ribosomal RNA, 392 nt
Filed under: uncultured bacterium
Lineage: Bacteria
Description: partial 16S ribosomal RNA
Rfam family: Bacterial small subunit ribosomal RNA
Source: RNAcentral
AUACGGAGGAUCCGAGCGUUAUCCGGAUUUAUUGGGUUUAAAGGGUGCGCAGGCGGCCAUUUAAGUCAGCGGUUAAAUCGUGGGGCUCAACCCCAUUCUGCCGUUGAUACUGGGUGGCUUGAUUGCGGUCGAGGUUGGCGGAAUUCGUUGUGUAGCGGUGAAAUGCUUAGAUAUGACGAAGAACACCGAUUGCGUAGGCAGCUGACCAGACCGCAAAUGACGCUCAUGCACGAAAGUGCGGGGAUCGAACAGGAUUAGAUACCCUGGUAGUCCGCACAGUAAACGAUGAAUACUUGUUUUCGGCGAUAUAAUGUCGGAGGCAAAGCGAAAGCGAUAAGUAUUCCACCUGGGGAGUACGCCGGCAACGGUGAAACUUAAAGGAAUUGACGGGG